UACGUAGGGUGCGAGCGUUAAUCGGAAUUACUAGGCGUAAAGCGUGCGCAGGCGGCUUUGCAAGACAGAUGUGAAAUCCCCGGGCUCAACCUGGGAACUGCAUUUGUGACUGCAAGGCUAGAGUACGGCAGAGGGGGAUGGAAUUCCGCGUGUAGCAGUGAAAUGCGUAGAUAUGCGGAGGAACACCAAUGGCGAAGGCAAUCCCCUGGGCCUGUACUGACGCUCAUGCACGAAAGCGUGGGGAGCAAACAGG
RNAcentral lists this ribosomal RNA (253 nucleotides) under uncultured bacterium. RNAcentral's name for it is "partial 16S ribosomal RNA". It matches the Rfam family "Bacterial small subunit ribosomal RNA", at positions 524 to 776 of the family's 1533-position model. The record is from RNAcentral.